Molecule: ribosomal RNA, 1266 nt
Filed under: Triticum aestivum (bread wheat)
Lineage: Eukaryota; Viridiplantae; Streptophyta; Magnoliopsida; Poales; Poaceae
Description: partial small subunit ribosomal RNA
Source: RNAcentral
AUGAUGACGAAAGAUAUGGUGGAGCAUGCGAGUCGUAUCUUAGAGCGAUGUCGGGGCCUUCCACUUGCUAUAGCCACCAUAGGAGGUUUAUUGGCUAACAGGCCCAAAACAAGCAGAGAAUGGAUGGAUUUGCGGCAACAUCUUGGGUCAGAGCUAGAGUCAGACCGAGAUAUCAAAAGAGUUAUCACCUCAAGCUAUGAUGGGCUGCCAUAUCAUCUCAAGUGUUGCUUCUUGUACCUAAGUAUCUUCCCCGAGAACCAUGAGAUUAGGCUUACCCGCUUAUUGCGGCGGUGGAUAGCUGAAGGCUAUAUAACAAAGCCACGUGACAUGAGCGUCGAGGAACUUGGACGGAGGUACUACAAUGAGCUCAUCAGUAGAAGUAUGAUCCAGCCUUCGGAGGAGGCCAGGGCUAGCAUGGCGGUUGAACGCUGUCGUGUUCAUAGUGUGGUGCUCCAAAUAAUCAUGUCCAAAUCUAUUGAGGAGAACCAGCUCUUCAUCAUGGAUAAGCACUGCAAUGAGGGUCCACAAACUAAGGUACGCCACUUGGUAGUGACAAGGUGGAAGAGAAAUGAAAAGAUGGCAAGCAUAAACUUUUCUCAGGUACGAUCAUUGACAAUCUUUGGAAGGUGCCCUAUGUCCCUCAUCUCCUCCGAAUUGCGCUUGUUGAGAGUUCUUGACUUGGAAGACACACUUGAGCUAGAGAAUGAUGAUCUCAAGCACAUCGGGGAGCUGCACCAUCUAAGAUACCUUGGUCUGCGAAAGACAAAUAUUUCAAGACUUCCUUCCUCUCUGCAGAACCUCGGGUUCCUAGAGACAUUGGAUGUUCAAGACACAAAAGUGACACAACUACCAGUUGGUAUCAUCAAACUGGAGAAGCUACGUCACCUUGUGAAUGGAGUCAACUUUGCCAAAGAUUUUGCAGCGAAGACGAGGAAAAUGAAGGAAGAAGCAAAAUGUAAUGGUGGUCCCUUUCAAACCUUUGUAGACUUGGUUACCGGGUGCUUUGGUUACGAUCAUGUUUGCUCAAGUUGCGCAUGUGAGUUUAGUGUAACAGCUCCAGAGGGAAAUCAGGGAAUCGAGAAGCUAAGGAACCUACAAGUGCUAGGGGUGGUGCACAUUGCACAAGGAAGCGGAGUGGCCAGAGACUUGGGUAAGCUCACCAGCUUGCGCAGAUUAGGUGUGGAGGUACAAAUGGUCGGGGAAGAAGGGAAGGAUUUAUGCAGUAUGCAGCUCAAUAGCAAAUCUUGUUCAUCUGGAACGACUUGA